UAUGAUGUGGACCAUGUACCAUGUUUAUUUGUUCGUCUACCAUUGUGUCUCGUCCAGUAGCUGUCUGUUGUGUAUGUCAAGUACCUGUCUGUAUGUAUGGGGAAUCAAAGUUUACUACAACAAGAUAUAUGCUGUCAAUCGAUGGUGUUAUAGUAACCGAGCACAUUGCCACAUUUACAACUGGCCUGGCUAUGUUGUUGGCCUCCUACUAUACCUUGAAUAUAAUGUACCCAAUGGAUUGUGCAUCAACACUAGAAUUUAUUCAAAGAUGUUUUGUUGGCAUCAAUCCAGAGAGAGGGAGCAAGAUUGAAGAAAAAAAAAACACUGCAAAAGGCACUCAGAAGUGCAUCCAAAGGUCUUGUCCCUGAUUAAUGCUAUCGCUGACGUUGAUUGGAGGAGCUAAAUCCCACAAGGAAGUCACACAUGCAGAUGCCACUUAAGGGAAGAAAGCACCAUGUCAAAUUGUGGUACUCAACAAGAUAAAACUUCUCUUCUUUUUUUGGUGAUACAUUUAAAAAAAUGUGUCACAAAGUCAAGUCCAUCAUGUCUGAUGAUUCAGUUCUUAGGAUCAUUAAGAUUUCUUUCAGAAGUUCUCUCUUAUUGAAGUGUACUAAUGACAAUCUAAUAUUUUUCUACAAGCUUGAUGAUGUAUUGAAAUGCCUAG
Molecule: long non-coding RNA, 664 nt
Organism: Portunus trituberculatus (swimming crab)
Lineage: Eukaryota; Metazoa; Arthropoda; Malacostraca; Decapoda; Portunidae
Exons: 4
Source: RefSeq, a predicted model, not a curated record